CCUACGGGGGGCUGCAGUGGGGAAUAUUGGACAAUGGGGGGAACCCUGAUCCAGCCAUGCCGCGUGUGUGAAGAAGGCCCUCGGGUUGUAAAGCACUUUCAGUGAGGAAGAACGCCUGGUGGUUAAUACCCAUCAGGAAAGACAUCACUCACAGAAGAAGCACCGGCUAACUCCGUGCCAGCAGCCGCGGUAAUACGGAGGGUGCGAGCGUUAAUCGGAAUUACUGGGCGUAAAGCGCGCGUAGGUGGCUUGAUAAGCCGGUUGUGAAAGCCCCGGGCUCAACCUGGGAACGGCAUCCGGAACUGUCAAGCUAGAGUGCAGGAGAGGAAGGUAGAAUUCCCGGUGUAGCGGUGAAAUGCGUACAGAUCGGGAGGAAUACCAGUGGCGAAGGCGGCCUUCUGGACUGACACUGACACUGAGGUGCGAAAGCGUGGGUAGCAAACAGGAUUAGAUACCCGUGUAGUC
This 465-nucleotide ribosomal RNA is filed under the name Vreelandella stevensii. RNAcentral's name for it is "partial 16S ribosomal RNA". It matches the Rfam family "Bacterial small subunit ribosomal RNA", at positions 338 to 795 of the family's 1533-position model. Lineage: Bacteria; Pseudomonadati; Pseudomonadota; Gammaproteobacteria; Oceanospirillales; Halomonadaceae. The record is from RNAcentral.